This is a small nucleolar RNA of Ornithorhynchus anatinus (platypus), 138 nucleotides long. NCBI's taxonomy places the organism in Eukaryota, Metazoa, Chordata, Mammalia, Monotremata, Ornithorhynchidae. The record is from RefSeq and is a predicted model, not a curated record.
UCCCUCUCAGGACGACACCUGGAGAGUUUCCAGGACUCUACCGGUCUCGGCUGCGGGAGGGAGGGUCUAGCAGAGGGCCACCCAUUCCAUUUCUAGCUCGGCCAGGGGCUAGUGAGUGGAAGGCCAUCUGCUACGAGU